This 288-nucleotide non-coding RNA is filed under the name Pseudomonas extremaustralis. RNAcentral describes it as "rne-II RNA". It matches the Rfam family "rne-II RNA". The record is from RNAcentral. Lineage: Bacteria; Pseudomonadati; Pseudomonadota; Gammaproteobacteria; Pseudomonadales; Pseudomonadaceae.
AUACGUGUAGGGUGGAGAUGCACAACCGUCGGACCGUGUAGCACUAGGCUUAUAUUUAGACGCUUCAUCUCGUCCACAGUCGCCGGUUGAUUCCUCCUCCUGACCUUAGCUUUUGUUGAAGUGGUGCCUUUGUCACCGCCGCUAACAAGCAGGACGCGUCCGUCGCGAUACCGGCCCAAUUGGCCGAUUUAGCUGGACACUGGAGUGGCCAACCACUCUUGACGCACCUGACACCGACCGUGAGAAGUCGUGUGUGCCGAACGCCGUUUCCGGCAGCCCGGAAACCGA